CUCUCUCUCUCUCUAUGUGUGUGUUUGAGGCAAAAAUGGGGUCGCCACCUUCUGCCUUUCUCAAACAAAAGGCUAUUAUAUUCCUCAGAUUUUUUAUGAUCAUGUUCUUGUGCUCUAUACCUGAGAAACCCGACCUUCGUUCUAAGCAAUCUUAUGUCAACUCUUCUGCUCUAUCUUAUAAGAAUUCAUCAAACAUAUCUUCACUGGAAAAAUUGAAUCUAGAUGGUUACUUCAGCUUUGAUAAUAUUGAACAUGCAGCUAAAGACUUUGGCAACAGAUACCAUUUUCAUCCAACUGCAGUUCUGUAUCCGAAGUCAGUUUCUGAUAUUGCAUCCACAAUAAACUAUAUUUUCAAUAUGGGCUCCACUUCAGAGAUAACAGUUGCUGCCAGAGGCCAUGGUCACUCCCUCCAGGGUCAAGCACAAGCUCAUCAAGGUAUAGUAAUCAACAUGGAAUCACUUCAGGUUCCAGAGAUGCAGAUUCACAUGGGGGAGACACCUUAUGUGGACGUAUCAGGGGGCCAGUUGUGGAUUAAUGUUCUGCAUGAGACUCUUAAACAUGGGCUUGCACCGAAAUCAUGGACAGAUUACCUUCAUCUCACCAUAGGGGGGACAUUAUCAAAUGCCGGAAUUAGUGGACAGGCGUUCCGUCAUGGACCUCAGAUCAACAAUGUUUACCAGCUGGAGGUUGUCACAGGUAUAUUUAGGCAUGCUCUUGCAAUUUUGCAGACCACGUAGCUCAAGAUUAUAGUACAAGAUAUACAAAUUGUCAAAUCAGUACAAUGGGAAGGGCAGUCCAGUGAUUUUAUCAUUUCAUUAUGAAAUGACAACCUUACCCUUGCAUAUCAUAUUGUGAAAAACUUACUUCUAAAUCAAACAGCAGAAAAAAGAACGUACCCUGAACAAUAAUGAAAUCUAUCUCACAACCAUAUUCAAAUGUAAAUCUAAAACUAGGUACAACUGAAUCUAAUUUGACGCUUUCGGUGCAGGGAAGGGAGAAGUAAUUACCUGUUCAGAGCAGCAGAAUGCAGAUCUCUUCUAUGGUGUUCUUGGAGGACUAGGACAGUUUGGCAUAAUCACUCGGGCCAGAAUUUCUCUUGAACAAGCACCUAAGAAGGUAAACAAUAUUUCAUUUCUCCAGAAGCUUGAUAAAUAAAGUGGGUGGCCUAUUCCAAGAACCACACUCUAUAAUGGAAUCUACUAUUUUGACAGGUGAAAUGGAUCAGAGUAUUGUACUCUGAGUUUUCCAAGUUCUCCAGGGACCAAGAACAUUUAAUGUCAUCUGAGAAUUCUUUCGACUAUAUUGAAGGAUUUGUAAUUAUAAAUAGAACUGGUCUCCUCAACAACUGGAGGUCCUCCUUCAGUCCCAAAGACCCACUUCAAGCCAGCCAAUUCAUUUCAGAAGGAAGAACUUUUUAUUGUAUGGAAAUUGCUAAAUACUUCAACUCGGACGAGUCUGACCUUGUAAACCAGGUAAGAUUUCAAGAAAAGUAUCAUACAAUUCUAAUAAAUUCAUCAUAAUAUCCACUUGAUCAAAGUCCCUGUUUCUAACCUUUAUUCUCUAACUCAGAAACCUUGCUUUUUGGAACUAGAAGAUUCAGCCAUGGGUGUGAAACUUCCCAUAAGCCUUUUGCUCGGAGCUUUAUCUCAGACACAUGUACUCUAUCCAGGAAUUCCGCAUAAGAAACUUCUG
Molecule: unclassified non-coding RNA, 1692 nt
Filed under: Hevea brasiliensis (rubber tree)
Lineage: Eukaryota; Viridiplantae; Streptophyta; Magnoliopsida; Malpighiales; Euphorbiaceae
Source: RNAcentral